Molecule: long non-coding RNA, 615 nt
Filed under: Dermacentor andersoni
Lineage: Eukaryota; Metazoa; Arthropoda; Arachnida; Ixodida; Ixodidae
Description: uncharacterized LOC126527008
Source: RNAcentral
CCUACGGCCACAAGGGGUACAUGAACCAUCCGCAAAAAUUGAAAAAAUGGCAAGAAAACAAUGAAAAGCCACGCCCUUUAGAUAUGCUUACUCAAAUGUUGUGGGGGCUGAGGAAUGCACCGGCACCGUUGCAUGGGCAUUCACCUGCUCUGCCGUUCCUACACUUAUCCCCGUUCCACUCGCAACCAAUUUCAGCGGUGGUGCUUCACUCGCGACGGUUUUCGGUAAGGGCGGAGCGCGGACGUCGCGGCAUGGUCCGCUGUCGGGUGCUCACCAGGAGCGCGCCUUUUCUACUUCCGGGACAGCACCGGGCGCUAAGCCAAAGUGCGGUGCCUAGUGCUCGCGUGAGGUCGUGCCACUUAUAGGAGGCCCAAGCCAAAGGAGAUUGCCCCAGCCCUCACGAUUUGGCCCACUGGUCAUUGCAAGAGCAAAUAGCAUAGCCGCCGGAACUUUUCCUAGCGGCAUGUCCCGGUGGGAGCCUUAGCUCUUGUGCCAACUUCUAUAGGUGCCCCUGUCUGUAUUUUCGCCCUUGCUGCGGAUUUCCAUGAACCCCUGAGACGACCAGGCAUUUGUGCAGUGUUGGGUGCCACCGGAGACAAUAAACGGUUUCCGCCA